RNAcentral lists this ribosomal RNA (465 nucleotides) under Vreelandella stevensii. RNAcentral describes it as "partial 16S ribosomal RNA". It matches the Rfam family "Bacterial small subunit ribosomal RNA", at positions 338 to 795 of the family's 1533-position model. The record is from RNAcentral. Lineage: Bacteria; Pseudomonadati; Pseudomonadota; Gammaproteobacteria; Oceanospirillales; Halomonadaceae.
CCUACGGGGGGCUGCAGUGGGGAAUAUUGGACAAUGGGGGGAACCCUGAUCCAGCCAUGCCGCGUGUGUGAAGAAGGCCCUCGGGUUGUAAAGCACUUUCAGUGAGGAAGAACGCCUGGUGGUUAAUACCCAUCAGGAAAGACAUCACUCACAGAAGAAGCACCGGCUAACUCCGUGCCAGCAGCCGCGGUAAUACGGAGGGUGCGAGCGUUAAUCGGAAUUACUGGGCGUAAAGCGCGCGUAGGUGGCUUGAUAAGCCGGUUGUGAAAGCCCCGGGCUCAACCUGGGAACGGCAUCCGGAACUGUCAAGCUAGAGUGCAGGAGAGGAAGGUAGAAUUCCCGGUGUAGCGGUGAAAUGCGUAGAGAUCGGGAGGAAUACCAGUAGCGAAGGCGGCCUUCUGGACUGACACUGACACUGAGGUGCGAAAGCGUGGGUAGCAAACAGGAUUAGAUACCCCGGUAGUC